RNAcentral lists this ribosomal RNA (676 nucleotides) under uncultured Acidobacteriota bacterium. RNAcentral describes it as "bacterial SSU rRNA". It matches the Rfam family "Bacterial small subunit ribosomal RNA", at positions 813 to 1482 of the family's 1533-position model. Lineage: Bacteria; Pseudomonadati; Acidobacteriota. The record is from RNAcentral.
UCACUAGAUGUAUCCCGCGUCCGCGGGACGUGUCGCAGCUAACGCGCUAAGUGACCCGCCUGGGGAGUACGGUCGCAAGACUGAAACUCAAAGGAAUUGACGGGGGCCCGCACAAGCGGUGGAGCAUGUGGUUCAAUUCGACGCAACGCGAAGAACCUUACCCGGGCUUGAAGAGUACGGGACCAGGCGGUGAAAGCCGCCCUUCCCGCAAGGGACUCGUGCAGAGGUGCUGCAUGGCUGUCGUCAGCUCGUGUCGUGAGAUGUUGGGUUAAGUCCCGCAACGAGCGCAACCCUUGCUCUCAGUUGCUACUCCCGCGCAAGCGGGACGCUCUCUGAGAGGACUGCCCGCGAUAAGCGGGAGGAAGGUGGGGAUGACGUCAAGUCAGCAUGGCCUUUAUGUCCGGGGCCACACACGUGCUACAAUGCGCGCUACAGAGGGCCUGCCAACCCGCAAGGGGGAGCCAAUCCCACAACAGCGCGCUCAGUUCGGAUUGGGGUCUGCAACUCGACCCCAUGAAGCUGGAAUCGCUAGUAAUGGCGCAUCAGCUCGGCGCCGUGAAUACGUUCCCGGGCCUUGUACACACCGCCCGUCACAUCACGAAAGGGGGCUGCACUAGAAGUGCCCGACCGAACCGCAAGGACGCCGGGCCCGACCGUGUGGUCUCUGAUUGGGGUG